UGGGGAAUAUUGCACAAUGGGCGCAAGCCUGAUGCAGCCAUGCCGCGUGUGUGAAGAAGGCCUUCGGGUUGUAAAGCACUUUCAGCGGGGAGGAAGGCGUUAAGGUUAAUAACCUUGGCGAUUGACGUUACCCGCAGAAGAAGCACCGGCUAACUCCGUGCCAGCAGCCGCGGUAAUACGGAGGGUGCAAGCGUUAAUCGGAAUUACUGGGCGUAAAGCGAGCGCAGGCGGUUUCUUAAGUCUGAUGUGAAAGCCCCCGGCUCAACCGGGGAGGGUCAUUGGAACCUGGGAGACUUGAGUGCAGAAGAGGAGAGUGGAAUUCCAUGUGUAGCGGUGAAAUGCGUAGAUAUAUGGAGGAACACCAGUGGCGAAGGCGGCUCUCUGGUCUGUAACUGACGCUGAGGCUCGAAAGCGUGGGGAGCAAACAGG
RNAcentral lists this ribosomal RNA (429 nucleotides) under Chloroflexota bacterium. RNAcentral's name for it is "Chloroflexi bacterium partial 16S ribosomal RNA". It matches the Rfam family "Bacterial small subunit ribosomal RNA", at positions 355 to 776 of the family's 1533-position model. Lineage: Bacteria; Bacillati; Chloroflexota. The record is from RNAcentral.